RNAcentral lists this ribosomal RNA (809 nucleotides) under Salinibacterium sp. RNAcentral describes it as "bacterial SSU rRNA". It matches the Rfam family "Bacterial small subunit ribosomal RNA", at positions 90 to 916 of the family's 1533-position model. The record is from RNAcentral. Lineage: Bacteria; Bacillati; Actinomycetota; Actinomycetes; Micrococcales; Microbacteriaceae.
GCUUAGUGGCGACGGGUGAGUAACACGUGAGUAACCUGCCCUUGACUCUGGGAUAAGCGCUAGAAAUGGCGUCUAAUACCGGAUACGAGCUUCAGCCGCAUGGCUAGGAGUUGGAAAGAAUUUUGGUCAAGGAUGGACUCGCGGCCUAUCAGCUAGUUGGUGAGGUAAUGGCUCACCAAGGCGACGACGGGUAGCCGGCCUGAGAGGGUGACCGGCCACACUGGGACUGAGACACGGCCCAGACUCCUACGGGAGGCAGCAGUGGGGAAUAUUGCACAAUGGGCGAAAGCCUGAUGCAGCAACGCCGCGUGAGGGAUGACGGCCUUCGGGUUGUAAACCUCUUUUAGUAGGGAAGAAGCGAAAGUGACGGUACCUGCAGAAAAAGCACCGGCUAACUACGUGCCAGCAGCCGCGGUAAUACGUAGGGUGCAAGCGUUGUCCGGAAUUAUUGGGCGUAAAGAGCUCGUAGGCGGUUUGUCGCGUCUGCUGUGAAAUCUGGGGGCUCAACCCCCAGCCUGCAGUGGGUACGGGCAGACUAGAGUGCGGUAGGGGAGAUUGGAAUUCCUGGUGUAGCGGUGGAAUGCGCAGAUAUCAGGAGGAACACCGAUGGCGAAGGCAGAUCUCUGGGCCGUAACUGACGCUGAGGAGCGAAAGCAUGGGGAGCGAACAGGAUUAGAUACCCUGGUAGUCCAUGCCGUAAACGUUGGGAACUAGAUGUGGGGGCCAUUCCACGGUCUCCGUGUCGCAGCUAACGCAUUAAGUUCCCCGCCUGGGGAGUACGGCGCAAGCUAAACUCAAGGAAUUGACGG